UUUCCAGCUUCCUUGCAUGCCUCACCAUGGACUAGGAAAAAAAAGCGGAGGUGUGGGGGAUUCCUUCAAGUCAUUUGUCUUGAGGCAAAAAGGUUUAGAAGAGGAAUUCCUUUCAUAUAACUAAGGUACAAACUGCAGAAGAUGACUUGAAAACAGAUUUCUACAAGGAUUUAACUUCUCUUGGACACAAUGAAAAUCAACAAGGCUCAUUCUCAAGUCAGGGGGGGAGCUCUUUCAGUGUACCAAUUUUUUAUUCCUCAAAGAGAAGUGAAAAUAUCAACCAUAAUUCUGCCUUCAAACAAGCCAUUCAAGCCUCUCACAAAAAGGAUUCUAGUUUUAUUAGGAUCCAUAAAGUGAUGAAAGUCUUAAACUUCACAACGAAAGCUAAAGAUCUGCACCUUUCUGAUGUCUUUUUGAAAGCACUUAACCAUCUGCCUCUAGAAUAUAACUCUGCUUUGUACAGCCGAAUAUUCGAUGACUUUGGGACUCAUUACUUCACCUCUGGCUCCCUGGGAGGCGUGUAUGACCUCCUCUAUCAGUUUAGCAGUGAGGAACUAAAGAACUCAGGUUUAACCGAGGAAGAAGCCAAACACUGUGUCAGGAUUGAAACAAAGAAACGCGUUUUAUUUGUUAAGAAAACAAAAGUGGAACAUAGGUGCACCACCAACAAGCUGUCAGAGAAACAUGAAGGUUCAUUUAUACAGGGAGCAGAGAAAUCCAUAUCCCUGAUUCGAGGUGGAAGGAGUGAAUAUGGAGCAGCUUUGGCAUGGGAGAAAGGGAGCUCUGGUCUGGAGGAGAAGACAUUUUCUGAGUGGUUAGAAUCAGUGAAGGAAAAUCCUGCUGUGAUUGACUUUGAGCUUGCCCCCAUCGUGGACUUGGUAAGAAACAUCCCCUGUGCAGUGACAAAACGGAACAACCUCAGGAAAGCUUUGCAAGAGUAUGCAGCCAAGUUCGAUCCUUGCCAGUGUGCUCCAUGCCCUAAUAAUGGCCGACCCACCCUCUCAGGGACUGAAUG
This 1015-nucleotide small RNA is filed under the name Pan troglodytes (chimpanzee). RNAcentral describes it as "processed transcript". Lineage: Eukaryota; Metazoa; Chordata; Mammalia; Primates; Hominidae. The record is from RNAcentral.